GGUUGAGAAAGGAAUUGGAGUCAGUUGGCUGCUUUGUGAAGAAGAAAGAGUCAGUGCUCUGAGGAGAAGCCCAUGAGAAACACCUACAGGAAGCUAUGAAACUUCUGUGAUAGGAGCCAACAGAAUGGAACUCCUACAGCCAGUUGCUGGAUGUGGUCACAUCUCUAAUGGGAGUAAAAUGAAAUAGCAGCUGUUCCUCAGUUCUGAGACAAAUGCUACAGUGCAGGAUCAGUAUGGCUUUCAGGACACAGCUGCCAGGAGAGCAGGAGGAAGCGCUGCUUGGACUCGUGGCUCUGGAGAGGGAGGCAGGCUCAAGGCUUUUCCAAGUGACCCCAUAUUGCAGUUCUGGGGCAGGACUGGCAUGGAAGGUGCCAGAGGUGAAGCACAGGUCAUGGCCUGCACCUCCUGGCCAGGGUCAGCCAGGCUGAGGAUGCUCACUCCUCCCCUAAGGCUGGAACACAAUCACUGCCUCUUUGGGCAGGGCAGAUCAGCCCUCUGAGAGCAGCUUGUCUGGAGACCUGCACAAUUAGUGUUUUAAAGGAAGGCGCAGGGAUCUGUGCAGCAGGCAGCCAACAGCUGGAAAUCAGAAUCCUCUUGUCUGCAGCUGGUGAAUAUGCAUUUGAGGCUGAUAGAAUUUCAGAAUAUGCAAGAAGGAGCAACCGAGUGCUUCUGCAUGUGUUCAGCUUCUUUAUUUUUCUCUCCUGAGUUUAGAUACUUUCAUGUAUUAGCUCUGUAGGAAAACUUUUCUUUUUAUAUUGAAAAAUGAUAAUUUGUAGACACUUUUGAUUAAAAAAAAAAACCAAAGCCUUCAUGACAAAAAAUCCACUUCAAUUCACAUGAAAAUGAACUUAUGAAGGAUGGCAAGAAUAAGGGUUUUUAAAGUACUGGAAAUAUAUUGAAGCCUUUUCUUCCCUCUUGAAUUAAUAUACCAUAAUAUUCACAAUGAA
Zonotrichia leucophrys gambelii is the source of this 947-nucleotide long non-coding RNA. RefSeq lists it as uncharacterized. NCBI's taxonomy places the organism in Eukaryota, Metazoa, Chordata, Aves, Passeriformes, Passerellidae. The record is from RefSeq and is a predicted model, not a curated record. The transcript is spliced from 3 exons.